This 1210-nucleotide long non-coding RNA is filed under the name Marmota monax (woodchuck). Lineage: Eukaryota; Metazoa; Chordata; Mammalia; Rodentia; Sciuridae. The record is from RNAcentral.
AUUUAAUUUAAUGUUUAACAAAUAUUAAAGCAUCUACUAUAUGUAAAAGCAUUAUUUUAGAUACAAAAAAUAUACAAUAUAGUUGAAUGAAUAUAUAUAGCUUUUCUGCAUGAAGCAAAGGAGUAAUCAUUGUAGAUCACAUAAGAAUCACUUACCCAGGCACUGAACCUCCUUGGGAGUAUUGUCUCCCUUUACUAGCCUUAUUUAACAUAUGUAGUCACAGGCAGGUUACAAGGAACUAAAUAAUAGAGCUGUCAAUAAAAAUACAGCUAUGAGACAGUACCAGAAUUUGAAGACAUAGACUUUUUUUAAAAAGUAUUUUUAUUAGUUAUUGAUGGACCUUUAUUUAUUUAUUUGCUUAUAUGUGGUGCUGAGAAUUGAACCCAGUGCUCAUACAUGAUAAACAAGUGCUCUACCACUGAGCCACAACCCCAGCCCCUGAAGACAGUCUUUUGAUUCCAGAACUGCACUCUAUAAAAUGGCUCCUGAUGACAAGGGAACAACUUUAACAAAGUCACUUCUCUGAAGGUAUCUGUGUAGCAGCCAAUCACAUGCAUGAUUUCCUGAAGAAACGAUGAACAGUUGCUGGGCAUCUCCCUCAGUAUGGUGAAUGGCUUUACAAAGCAUGUUGACCACUUAGAAGUUAUGCCAUUCCCAUUAGAGAUUAGAUCACUUUCAGGGAAAGAAUGGAGGUGAAGAGAGAAGAAUGGGGAGAAAGGAGAAAUUAGAGGAAGAGAAGGAUAGAGGAAUAGGAGAAGAACAGGAAAGGAUAAAUAUGAACAAAUCAUAGAAGGUCAGUGCUGCAAGAACAUUUGGUUUAGACUGUUUAAAAUAUGAAGAAACUGAGGCCCAAGGAAGGAAAUAAGACCCAAGGAAGGAAAUGACUCAUCAAGAGUUACCUAGUAUUAGGUUUGGAUGUGAAGUGUCCCCCAAAAGCUCAUGUAUAAUACAAUGCAAGAAGGCUUAGAGAAGAAAUGAUUGGGUUAUGAGAACCUUAACCCCAUCAGUGGAUUAAUCCCCUGAUGGGAUUAACUGAGUGGUAACUAAAGACAGGUAGGGUAUGGCUAGAGUAUGUGGGUAAUUGCGGGGCAUGUCUUUGGGUAUAUAUUUUAUAUCUGGUGAGUAGAGUCUCUGUCUCUGCUGCCUCAUCAUCAUGUGAGCUGCUUCCCUCCACCACACUCUUCUGCCAUGAUGUUCAGCCUCACCUUGA